UUACCGAAUUGUCAAACGGGUUGUUGCUGGUCCUCGAAAGGGGACACGUGCACACUCUGUUUACACAUCCACUCACACCUGUGCACCCUCUGUAGUUCUAUGGUCUGGGAGACUCUGUCUUCCUGCUGUGGUUCUACGUCUUUACACACACACUGUAACAAAGUCUCAAGGAAUGCAUGCAGCGUCUAACGCAAUACAAUACAACUUUCAGCAACGGAUCUCUUGGCUCUCGCAUCGAUGAAGAACGCAGCGAAAUGCGAUAAGUAAUGUGAAUUGCAGAAUUCAGUGAAUCAUCGAAUCUUUGAACGCACCUUGCGCCCCUUGGCUAUUCCGAGGGGCAUGCCUGUUUGAGUAUCAUGAACACCUCAACUCUCAUGGUUUGCCAUGAUGAGCUUGGACUCUGGGGGAUUUGCUGGCCUGUGGUCGGCUCCCCUUAAAUGAAUCAGCCUCCCAGUGUUUGGUGGCAUCACGGGUGUGAUAAUUAUCUACGCUCGCGGUUGUCUGCCG
This 507-nucleotide ribosomal RNA is filed under the name uncultured Tomentella. RNAcentral describes it as "eukaryotic LSU rRNA". The stretch from base 203 to 357 matches the Rfam family "5.8S ribosomal RNA". The record is from RNAcentral. Lineage: Eukaryota; Fungi; Basidiomycota; Agaricomycetes; Thelephorales; Thelephoraceae.